AGAGUUUGAUCAUGGCUCAGAUUGAACGCUGGCGGCAGGCCUAACACAUGCAAGUCGAGCGGUAACAGAGAGUAGCUUGCUACUUUGCUGACGAGCGGCGGACGGGUGAGUAAUGCUUGGGAACAUGCCUUGAGGUGGGGGACAACAGUUGGAAACGACUGCUAAUACCGCAUAAUGUCUACGGACCAAAGGGGGCUUCGGCUCUCGCCUUUAGAUUGGCCCAAGUGGGAUUAGCUAGUUGGUGAGGUAAUGGCUCACCAAGGCGACGAUCCCUAGCUGGUUUGAGAGGAUGAUCAGCCACACUGGGACUGAGACACGGCCCAGACUCCUACGGGAGGCAGCAGUGGGGAAUAUUGCACAAUGGGCGCAAGCCUGAUGCAGCCAUGCCGCGUGUGUGAAGAAGGCCUUCGGGUUGUAAAGCACUUUCAGUCAGGAGGAAAGGUUAGUAGUUAAUACCUGCUAGCUGUGACGUUACUGACAGAAGAAGCAUCGGCUAACUCCGUGCCAGCAGCCGCGGUAAUACGGAGGGUGCGAGCGUUAAUCGGAAUUACUGGGCGUAAAGCGUACGCAGGCGGUUUGUUAAGCGAGAUGUGAAAGCCCCGGGCUCAACCUGGGAACUGCAUUUCGAACUGGCAAACUAGAGUGUGAUAGAGGGUGGUAGAAUUUCAGGUGUAGCGGUGAAAUGCGUAGAGAUCUGAAGGAAUACCGAUGGCGAAGGCAGCCACCUGGGUCAACACUGACGCUCAUGUACGAAAG
This 756-nucleotide ribosomal RNA is filed under the name uncultured bacterium. RNAcentral's name for it is "bacterial SSU rRNA". It matches the Rfam family "Bacterial small subunit ribosomal RNA", at positions 8 to 759 of the family's 1533-position model. The record is from RNAcentral.